GGUGUUGAGGCCUUUAUCAGCAAACUUUCGGAUUUGGACACUAAUAGGGUCAUUAAAGGCAGGCAAGUUUGCGGUAUCCGAUGCUUGUGAAACCAAUCCAUCUCUACGUCCUAAUCGUACCUGCCAACUACACUGAACUAUGGAUUCGGCCCUAGGGCAGGACGACCUGUAAUAACCAAGACGGGUGCCGCUGCCACUACCGCGGUUGCCUUGACCUAGUGACAAGGUUGUGAGAGUGGCUAACAGAAGAACCAACAAAGCAACCGUUUUGCUUAAGGAGGA
RNAcentral lists this long non-coding RNA (282 nucleotides) under Helianthus annuus (common sunflower). Its description in RNAcentral is "hypothetical non coding rna". The record is from RNAcentral. Lineage: Eukaryota; Viridiplantae; Streptophyta; Magnoliopsida; Asterales; Asteraceae.